This 465-nucleotide ribosomal RNA is filed under the name uncultured bacterium. Its description in RNAcentral is "partial 16S ribosomal RNA". It matches the Rfam family "Bacterial small subunit ribosomal RNA", at positions 28 to 507 of the family's 1533-position model. The record is from RNAcentral.
GACGAACGCUGGCGGCGUGCUUAACACAUGCAAGUCGUACGGUAAGGCCCUUUCGGGGGUCCACGAGUGGCGCACGGGUGAGUAACACGUGAGUAACCUGCCCACAACUUUGGGAUAACGCUAGGAAACUGGUGCUAAUACUGGAUAUGUGCUCCUGCUGCAUGGUGGGGGUUGGAAAGCUCCGGCGGUUGUGGAUGGACUCGCGGCCUAUCAGCUUGUUGGUGGGGUAGUGGCCUACCAAGGCGGCGACGGGUAGCCGGCCUGAGAGGGUGACCGGCCACAUUGGGACUGAGAUACGGCCCAGACGCCUACGGGAGGCAGCAGUGGGGAAUAUUGCACAAUGGGCGCAAGCCGGAUGCAGCAACGCCGCGUGCGGGAUGACGGCCUUCGGGUUGUAAACCGCUUUCAGCAGGGACGAAGCUUUUUGUGACGGUACCUGCAGAAGAAGCACCGGCUAACUACGUG